AGAGUUUGAUCAUGGCUCAGGAUGAACGCUAGCGGCGUGCCUAAUGCAUGCAAGUCGAACGGGAACCUUUGGACUCGUCUGAAGGUGAGAGUGGCGAACGGGUGAGUAACACGUUGGUGACCUGCCCCAGAGAGGGGGAUAACUAUUGGAAACGAUAGCUAAUACCCCGGAUGUCAUUAUUGUUAGAGAGUAAUGACUAAAGCUCCGGCGCUCUGGGAGGGGCCUGCGGCCCAUCAGCUAGUUGGUAGGGUAAUGGCCUACCAAGGCAAAGACGGGUAGGGGGCGUGAGAGCGUGACCCCCCACACUGGUACUGACACACGGACCAGAUACCUACGGGUAGCAGCAGCAAGGAAUAUUGCCCAAUGGACGAAAGUCUGAGGCAGCAACGCCGCGUGGAGGAAGAAGGCCUUCGGGUUGUAAACUCCUUUUCUGGGGGAAGAGAAAGGACGGUACCCCAGGAAUAAGCCUCGGCUAUCUACGUGCCAGCAGCCGCGGUAAAACGUAGGAGGCGAGCGUUAUCCGGAUUUACUGGGCGUAAAGCGCGUGCAGGCGGUUUCUUAAGUCGGACGUGAAAGCUCUUGGCUCAACUGAGAGAGGCCGUUCGAAACUGGGAAACUUGAGGGUGGAAGAGGAGAGUGGAAUUCCCGGUGUAGUGGUGACCUGCGUACAUAUCGGGAGGAACACCAGUGGCGAAGGCGGCUCUCUGGGCCAUUCCUGACGCUCAGACGCGAAAG
Molecule: ribosomal RNA, 735 nt
Filed under: uncultured bacterium
Lineage: Bacteria
Description: bacterial SSU rRNA
Rfam family: Bacterial small subunit ribosomal RNA
Source: RNAcentral